UACGGGGGGGGCAAGCGUUGUUCGGAAUUACUGGGCGUAAAGGGUUCGUAGGUGGCUUGCUAAGUCAGACGUGAAAUCCCUCAGCUUAACUGGGGAACUGCGUCUGAUACUGGCGAGCUUGAGUGCAGGAGAGGAACGCGGAAUUCCAGGUGUAGCGGUGAAAUGCGUAGAUAUCUGGAGGAACACCGGUGGCGAAGGCGGCGUUCUGGACUGCGACUGACACUGAUGAACGAAAGCCAGGGGAGCAAACGGG
RNAcentral lists this ribosomal RNA (253 nucleotides) under uncultured bacterium. RNAcentral describes it as "partial 16S ribosomal RNA". It matches the Rfam family "Bacterial small subunit ribosomal RNA", at positions 524 to 776 of the family's 1533-position model. The record is from RNAcentral.